GUCACAACGGGUAGGGCGCAAUCGCAUGGAUUUCGGGGCUGGACAGGAAACGCGCGCAUCGGUCCGCAGCUCAGAACGGGAAUGGAAGCGGGAGAGGAACGGGAGGCUCGCUCGUCUCAUCAUCAUCAUCAAAUAUAAGCGAUCGGCACGGGAAGCGAAAACUCGAUUGAGGUGGGAGAGGAGCGGGGAUUCUGUCGCUGGAUUUGCGCAACACAACAGUGGCUUUUUCCCAUUGUUACCGUUUCCUUCGGACAAGACAGAAGCCGCAGAACCGUCGGCUGGUUUGCGACAAUUGAUUGCGGACCUUUUCCAUUCAGAAAUCAGCUUGGCACUGCCACAGAACCAAAGGUCUGAGACCUACCGCCUGCCGUACAUUCCAGCGCACGUGUGCACACAGACACACUAUCAUUAACCCCUCGAACCCCACCUGGAGGAAACCUCAGUGCUGCUUCCCUCCAUCCACCCUCUCAGUUAGUGCCUCUUCAUGUCUCGUUUCAGAGGGAGUUGCAGAAGUGUGGUCAUCUCCUCAGAGUGCCUGCUUUAGCUUUUAGGACAGUGGGAGAGGACGUCAAGCCCCACUUCGAGAG
This 587-nucleotide long non-coding RNA is filed under the name Sinocyclocheilus anshuiensis. Its description in RNAcentral is "lncRNA (ENSSANG00000006266.1)". The record is from RNAcentral. Lineage: Eukaryota; Metazoa; Chordata; Actinopteri; Cypriniformes; Cyprinidae.